UGUCCCUCAAAAGGGUCAUAAUAUUGAAUGCAAUGAAACGUGUCACCCAACUAUCAAUUACACAUUUACACAACUAACCCGCUGAAAUUAAAAUUUCACCAAAAUUUUUAAUCUAAUAUCCUGGGAAACUGUACCCCAUGUUCGUCCUCACUGCACUAUCAGCUCCCAUAACGGUUUUGUUAAGCAGUUGCCAAUAACACCUUAUUCGCCGCUCAGAUUUGUUGCCUAAAAACUUUGAAUCUUCACAAAAAAAUCCCUAAUUUCUUGAUUUCAGUUAGCAUAUAAUCAUCUCAGCCCACUUCUUACUUUAACUCUUCAAUUUUUUUUUCAAUAUAUUUGAAGCGUAUAGUAUGAUGUGAAUUGCAGAUUGCUUUAAUACUCUUCAUAAUUUGCCAAAAAAGUUCUCUUAAUUUAGUUUUGCGGUUAAUUUGUAUUGUGAGUUUUGAUUCAUCGUUUCUAUUGUUUGUUGGAGAAAAUUUAUCAAGAUUCAGCUCAAAGAUCUCGUCAUCUGAGGAGAAGCUGUGGUAUUUGAAGUGCAAAGAAGUGGAAAAUCAGAAGCUAAAAGGCGGAGAAACGGCUUCAAGAAUUGGAGGUAAUGUACAUAAGCACUGCCUAAAUAUAAUAUUGUUCUGGAUGAAAAUUUCGGUUGUGUAAAUUCAAGAUUAAGUUUCUAGAUUUCUUUCAAUCACACAUAUGUCUUUACUGUUUAGCACAUCUUUCAUGUCAAUUGAGAUUAGGUUGAGGUAUUUUCUCUAUAUCAUACAUGUGUGCAGUAUAGGAUUAGAAAGAUAUGUAAUUGUGAAGUCUGAUGUCGGCUAGAGUUAUGAUGAAAACGAGCCAUGUCUCAAUUGACAUGAAACCUGGCUCAAUAUAUACUCUCCUGACUGAAUCUAGGUUCAUAUAUCCUCUCCUCAUGGUCUCUAUUAAAGAGGUAUGGCUGCUAGAUUUGGUAUUUAAAGUUGAUGAUAUGGAACACAUGUUGCUAAUAUAUGUAUCAAUAUAUGUAUGUUUGUUUUUGUUCGCAAAUGUAUGCAAUUGAGAGGCUUAACAAUCUGAGAGGGAGAUGCAUGGCUUCAAUGGAUUCUUGGUCUUAAGGUCAUCUAAGAGAAGCUGUGGUAUUUGAAGUGCAAAGAAGUGGAAAAUCAGAAGCUAAAAAGGCAGAGAAACGGCUUCAAGAAUUGGAGCAUUCAUCCUUUUGGAUUCUUUUGGUCACUGCAUGCUUAGUUUAGAAGACUCUUGAAGACAUCUAUACCAAGAUAUGGAAACAAGUUGGAUAGAACUUCCACGAUGCCACACUCAAUAUGUCUAAGGUUGUAUGCAAUUCAUUAACUUUGCUAAGGUAGCUCAGGUAGAAGGAAAGAUUCGGUGUCCAUGUACGACAUGUAAAGUGGAUAAAUGGCUUUGUGUAAAUGAUGUAGAAAGACAUAUCUUGUUUAACGGGUUUUAUAAAUCAUACAAGAAAUGGAUUUUUCAUGGUCAAGGGGAUUUGCUUCAGCAUAUGAUUGGGUGUGAUGGAGGUAGUACUAGCCAAGGAUCCCCACUAGAUCAAACAAGGUUUGAAGGUCGAGAUGAUAUGGGAGGCCUAUUGAGAUCUGCUUUUAGUUUUGAAAAACCCUCAAAUGACCUAACCUUUGAACCACAUGAAAAUAAUGAAAAUGACGAGUAUCUUGAAGACCCUGUCUUUUAUGAAGAGGAGAUUGAUUUAGAAUUUUCAACAACGCAAGAUGAAGCUAAGUAUAAGAAAUUACUUGAUGUUUCCGAUGAGAAAUUGUAUGACGGGUGUACUAAAUUUUCCAAACUGUCUUUUCUUUUACACCUUUUUCACAUAAAAUGUAUGAGCCAUUGGUGUGCUGAAUCCUUUAAUAUGCUACUCGAGCUUCUCAUAGACGCAUUUCCCCAAAUACUUGAGUUUCCCUCAUCUUAUUAUCAAAGUAAGAGAAUAAUAAAAGACCUUGGCAUUGGGUAUGAGAAGAUUGAUGCUUGUCCAAAUAACUGUAUGUUGUAUUGGGGUGAUUAUUCAAAGAAAGACAAGUGUCAUGUUUGUGGUACAUCAAGAUGGAAGAAAAAUAAGGGUAGAAAUGAUAAUGUCAGAGAUCAAAAUAAGACUGUUUCUACGAGUGGUGAGCCAGCUAAGGUAAUGCGUUACUUUCCUCUUAUCCCUAGACUGAAGAGAAUUUACAUGUCCUCAAAAACAGCAGAAGAUAUGAGAUGGCAUUAUACUCAUAAUGAUAAAUUGAAUGAUAAUGAUAAGAAGAUGUUAAGGCACCCUUCAGAUGCAUUAGAUUGGAAAUCAUUUGAUCAACGUUAUGAGGAUUUUGCCUCGGAUCCUCGUAGUGUUCGAUUAGGACUUGCAAGUGAUGGGUUUAAUCCAUAUCGUUUGAUGAACACGACUUAUAGUACAUGGCCUUUGGUGUUGAUUCCCUAUAAUCUUCCACCGUGGUUAUGUAUGAAACCAUCUUCAUUCAUGUUGUCUAUUAUCAUUCCCGGUAAAACAAGUCCCGGAAUUGACAUCGAUGUGUAUUUGCAGCCACUAGUUCAUGAAUUGAAAUUGUUAUGGAGUGGGGUUGAUGCUUUUGAUGCUUAUGAUGGAGAGAAAUUUAAAUUGCGAGCCGCUUUGCUUUGGACUAUUAAUGACUUUCCUGGUUAUGCAAUGCUCUUCGGUCUGAGCACCAAAGGCUAUAUGGCAUGCCCUAUAUGCAUUGAUUCAACUCCUUCUGAAAAAUUUGGGAGUAAGACUUGUUAUUGUGGGUAUCGAAAAUGGCUUCCAUCAUGUCAUCCAUAUCGAUUUGAUUGUGACAGUUUUAACGGAAGAGAAGAGCAUGGUGAAGCUCCACCUCGGCCUAGUGGGACUGACAUAUUGGGGCUACAAGAAAAGGUUGGGUAUGUUUAUGGGAAGGCAUCAAAAAGAAAGAGAGGUAACGAGGGUAACAAUGAAAAAGAUGUUGUCAUUGGUAACAAGAGAAGCAUAUUUUAUAAUUUAGAAUUGGGAGCAUAAUUUGUUGAGGCAUAAUCUAGAUGUAAUGCACAUAGAAAAAAAUGUGUGUGACAAUAUUUUAAAUACUCUCUUAAAUACCGAUAAAAGCAGAGAUAAGAAGGAUGAUCGAGAUGCCCUUCAAGGAUGGGGCAUAAAGCCACAUCUUUGGGUUCAAGAUAAUCAUAUGCCUUGAACUUCUUAUUCUAUGUCUGUAGAGGAGAAAAGAGGUUCUUAAAAGUUUUACAAAAUCUCAGAGUCCCUGAUGGCUAUGGAUCUAACCUUUCUAGAUGCGUGAACAUGAAGCAAAGAAGGUUGAUUAACCUUAAGAGCCAUGACAACCAUGUUUUGAUGCAAGAUAUCCUUCCCGUCGCAUUAAGAGCUUCUAAUGCAACAAAAGUAAUUGAUUUGCUUGCAAAAUUGUCUUACUUUUUCAAGCAAUUAUGCUCCACUGCUAUUGAUCCUGAUGAUCCAGAUGCUCUUUAAGAAGGAAUUGUAUUAACCCUUUGUGAGUUGGAAAUGGAGUUUUUGCCUUCGUUUUUCACAAUCAUGGUUCAUUUGCUAAUUCACUUAGUGGAGGAGGUUAAACUCGGUGGGCCAGUACAGUACAUAUGGAUGUAUCCCAUUGAGAGGUACUUGGCCCAUCUAAAAACACAUGUAGCUAAUAAAGCCCAACAUGAAGGGUCAAUUGCAGAAGGCUACCUUUUAGAGGAGACCAUUAGGUUUUGUUCAAGAUAUCUUGAAGGUGUUAAGACCGUCUUUAACAAACCUAAACGAAUUGAUGAUGAUAGUCCCAAUUCUGGAAAAUACUUGUGUAAUUCUGGCGGUCGAGUAAUUGGGAAAGAAGUCAAUUUCCGUCUAGAUGACAAAAGCUUAAAACAAGCUCAUCGCUAUGUUUUACUGCAUCAUUCUGAUGAAAUUCAAGAUCUUCUCGAAGAAUUUUUAAAUCUAAAGCGACAAAUGAAUACACAUAACCCAAUCUCUGAAAGUGAUGAAAGUGAUUGGAUCAUCAACGAGUUUGGAGAGUGGUUGCGAAGUCAGGUACACUCAAUAGAUGAAUCCACCGGAGAUGGGAAACUUUGAAAAAUUCUGGCAGGGGGAUUGAAUUGUUAUGG
Molecule: RNA transcript, 4086 nt
Organism: Chenopodium quinoa (quinoa)
Lineage: Eukaryota; Viridiplantae; Streptophyta; Magnoliopsida; Caryophyllales; Amaranthaceae
Exons: 8
Source: RefSeq, a predicted model, not a curated record